AUUCAGGGCAAUUGCAAUUAUUUCCCUUGAACGAGAAUUCCCAGUAAGCGCGAGUCAUUAGCUCGCGUUGAUUACGUCCCUGCCCUUUGUACACACCGCCCGUCGCUACUACCGAUUGAAUGGUUUAGUGAGGUCCUCCGAUUGGACCCGGUCCGGGCGGCGACGUCCGAGCCGGCGUCCGAGAAGACGAUCUAACUUGAUCAUUUAGAGGAAGUAAAAGUCGUAACAAGGUUUCCGUAGGUGAACCUGCGGAAGGAUCAUUA
Non-coding RNA from Ciona savignyi (Pacific transparent sea squirt), 263 nucleotides. The record is from Rfam. Lineage: Eukaryota; Metazoa; Chordata; Ascidiacea; Phlebobranchia; Cionidae.